This 248-nucleotide ribosomal RNA is filed under the name uncultured bacterium. Its description in RNAcentral is "partial 16S ribosomal RNA". It matches the Rfam family "Bacterial small subunit ribosomal RNA", at positions 796 to 1041 of the family's 1533-position model. The record is from RNAcentral.
CACGCUGUAAACGAUCAAUACUAGGUGUGCGGGGACUGACCCCCUGCGUGCCGCAGUUAACACAAUAAGUAUUGCACCUGGGGAGUACGAUCGCAAGGUUGAAACUCAAAGGAAUUGACGGGGGCCCGCACAAGCGGUGGAUUAUGUGGUUUAAUUCGAAGCAACGCGAAGAACCUUACCAGGUCUUGACAUCCCAGUGACCACUCUAGAGAUAGAGUUUUCCCUUCGGGGACAUUGGUGACAGGUGG